GUAAAAUAUAUACAAUAGAAAUAUACAAUUUUCUCAUUAUUAUUUGUACUCUUUCUGCUAAUAUGGUAUAAGAGUCGUAAGAUUUCGAUUUCUAGUUUCUGGGGUCUCUUCUCUCUUUGCAAUUCUGAUUAGUUUUCCAUUAAGCCACCUAACUCUGUCCGUAUUUCACACACUGUUCAUCUCUGUUCCUUUGAAAUCAAGGAACAAAUGGAGAAAUUUGACAUUUGAAAACCUAUUGCAACGCUUCUAACUGACUCCAAUUAUAAUAUCUAGGUUCAAUCCAAUUAUAAUAUCUAGGUUCAAGGUAUGAAAUAUACAAUUUUCUCUUUAUUAUUUGUACUCUUUCUGCUAAUAUGGUAUAAGAGUCGUAAGAUUUCGAUUUCUAGUUUCUGGGGUCUCUUCUCUCUUUGCAAUUCUGAUUAAUUUUCCAUUAAGCCACCUAACUCUGUCCGUAUUUCACACACUGUUCAUCUCUGUUCCUUUGAAAUCAAGGAACAAAUGGAGAAAUCUUACAUUUUAAAACCUAUUGCAAAGCUUCUAACUGACUCCAAUUAUAAUAUCUAGGUUCAAGGUAUGAAAGGUUUUUUGAUAGGUCGCAAACUUUGGUGUAUUGUCACUGGCGAACUGUUGUCCAACGUUCUUGUUCUCACACCUCUCAGCAUAAUGGGUGAGCCGAAUGCAAGCAUCGCCAUAUUCUUGAUUCUGUGAUUCUGAUAUCAGCUCACCCCACCUGCUCUUGUUGAACGUGCACCAGUUGUUGAUUCUGUACUUGUGCCUGCAUCUCCUCCUCCUACUACUCUCCGUCGUUCUACACCCACCUACUCCUGUUGAACCUGCACCGGUUGUUAAUUCUGUACCUGUGCCUGCAUCUCCUCUUACCACUACUCUCCGUUGUUCUACUCGGUUAGUCAGUUUAUGUCUGCUCCUCGUUCAAUUCAUUUCUCUGCAGUGCUUCGAAUCCUUCCUUCCUUAUAUCAAAGAAACUCUUUUUCAUGGUUUACUUUUCUCUGCUACCUCCUCGGUAUUAUCUAGCUACUCUGACGCUAAUUGGACUGGUGAUCUGACUGAUCGUCGUUCUACAACUGAUUAUUUCUUCUUGGGAGAUUCUGGAUAUCGUGCUAUUGUUGAUGCUACAUUUGAGCUACAUUUGAACUACUUUAGUUACGGUGGCUAUUAAUUAAUAUGGGGUCACUCACUCUUCUGCCACCAUACUUCAUUGUGACAAUAUAAGUGCCAUACAAAUUUCUCAUAAUGAUGUCUUUCAUGAGUACCAAACACAUCAAAAUUGAUUGUCAUUUUGUACGUCAUCAUGUUGCUCACGGCACCAUAUGUUUGAUUCCUGUCUCUUAUGCUAGCCAAACUGUGGAUAUUUUCGCCAAACUGCGUAUAUUUUCACUUGGCACCUACGCUACCACAUUGAGUUUGAGGGGAUGUUAGCAUGAUUAUAGGAAAUCAAAUCUUUGCAUGAUUAUAG
RNAcentral lists this long non-coding RNA (1474 nucleotides) under Manihot esculenta (cassava). RNAcentral describes it as "long non-coding RNA (MESC_LNC011241)". Lineage: Eukaryota; Viridiplantae; Streptophyta; Magnoliopsida; Malpighiales; Euphorbiaceae. The record is from RNAcentral.